UCGAGCGGUAGAGAGAAGCUUGCUUCUCUUGAGAGCGGCGGACGGGUGAGUAAUACCUAGGAAUAUGCCUGGUAGUGGGGGAUAACGCUCGGAAACGGACGCUAAUACCGCAUACGUCCUACGGGAGAAAGCAGGGGACCUUCGGGCCUUGCGCUAUCAGAUGAGCCUAGGUCGGAUUAGCUAGUUGGUGAGGUAAUGGCUCACCAAGGCGACGAUCCGUAACUGGUUUGAGAGGAUGAUCAGUCACACUGGAACUGAGACACGGUCCAGACUCCUACGGGAGGCAGCAGUGGGGAAUAUUGGACAAUGGGCGAAAGCCUGAUCCAGCCAUGCCGCGUGUGUGAAGAAGGUCUUCGGUUUAAAGCACUUUAAGUUGGGAGGAAGGGCAGUAACCUAAUAC
RNAcentral lists this ribosomal RNA (400 nucleotides) under Pseudomonas sp. R-42012. Its description in RNAcentral is "bacterial SSU rRNA". It matches the Rfam family "Bacterial small subunit ribosomal RNA", at positions 62 to 465 of the family's 1533-position model. Lineage: Bacteria; Pseudomonadati; Pseudomonadota; Gammaproteobacteria; Pseudomonadales; Pseudomonadaceae. The record is from RNAcentral.